GUGCUUGCUUCGGCAGCACAUAUACUAAAAUUGGAACGAUACAGAGAAGAUAAGCAUGGCCCCUGUGCAAGGAUGGCACGCAAAUUUGUGGAAUGUUAAACAUUUUU
This 107-nucleotide small nuclear RNA is filed under the name Pteropus vampyrus (large flying fox). The record is from RNAcentral. Lineage: Eukaryota; Metazoa; Chordata; Mammalia; Chiroptera; Pteropodidae.